Glycine soja is the source of this 2430-nucleotide long non-coding RNA. RefSeq lists it as uncharacterized. Lineage: Eukaryota; Viridiplantae; Streptophyta; Magnoliopsida; Fabales; Fabaceae. The transcript has 4 exons. The record is from RefSeq and is a predicted model, not a curated record.
CCUAUUUAUUUUGGUGUUAUGUGGAUCUGAAAAUCAAGAAGCCGAACGAAGGAACACAAAUUUAUAUUAGAUCUGAAAGAAAAGAGAAGAGUUUUAGGUUUGUGGGAGAAGAAGAAGAUGAAGAAGAUGAGGCGCAGUUGUCCUCUUCACUUGAAAUCAAAUUCAAGACCGCUUUGCCUUCCUUUUCAGUACAUUCCAUUUCGAAUGGAAACAGUGCUUUGCUAUUUUCAUUUUUAAAAUAGACAUUGGGCUUCUUCUUGUUCCUCUUUUUUCCUUCCAAUUCCGAUUUGGUCCUAAUGCCUAUUUUAAAAUGAAAACAAUGAUACACUGCUUUUGUUUGAAACUAUUGUUAAGGAAGAUAACGCCGACGAGUUCUUCAAUUUGAUUUUAGCUGACGAGGACUUUUUUAUUCAUCCACAGUCUCUGAAUCUGUACGACUAAACAAGCAAAGAAAAACACGGAGAACAAAGGAUGGACAUCCUGUAUUAUUGGACAAUAACAUAACAUGAGACAUAGUCAUCUUGGCUUCUCUCCUCCGCGCCCUCUCUCUCACUGGAACCUGACAUCUAUUACCUGCUUGUUGCCACCUUCGUUCAAUCGUUCUGCUCAACACUAUUCUUCUUGGCAUGUGUUGGCAGUGUUCGAUUUGCAGGGUUUAUGAAUUUGGUGGCGGGAUGGCGUAUUAUAACAUGUGGACGCUACGAAUGCAGAAUACGUGGAGAACAUGUGAGAAAUUUCAGACAUCUGUGGAAUUUCAAAGUUGGCCGGAUUUCGUUUUUUGAACUGGUUAAUAUUUGUUGUCUUUUGGAGCAGAGAAAAAUAAAGCUGUGAAAAAAGGUUAAACAUUAUCGGGGAAGAACUGGGUCGUGCGGCGAUUCCGUAGUUGAGGGUGUGAUUGUCGGUGGAAGUUACUUUUUUGGGCAGAUCCGUUGGCUGAGGAAGGUACAGAGCAAUCGUAGAGGAGGUGGCGGCGCAACUGACGGAGUAGUAGUUGGGUGGCGGGCGCGGAUCUGCGGCGGAGGAGGUGACGGUGCAACUGAUGGAGUCGUGGUUGGGUGGCCCGCGUGCGGAUCUGAAGGAAGGAAGUGGUGGCGCCAUAAGGAGGAAAAUGGGUUGCCGAAUUCUUAAACAUUCAAGGAGGGACAACACAGUCUUUCAAGCUUGAGGCAAAAACGUCAUUUCAUAUUUCUUAUUAAUUUAAUAAAUAAACAAAGAAAUACGUCACCAUCAAAUGACAGUCCAAUCUUUUUUACCGUUCACAUUUAAAUACUAUAUAUCCAACGGCUGAUAACAAACUUCCUCAUCCAUGGACCACUUUCAACAAACUUCAGCAAAGUUUUCCACCUGUUCACCACUUGGUUGGUGGUUCACCCUAGAUUUCCACAAGAAUAUAUUGCGGUUGUGAUGAGUCCAAAAGCCUGAACAUUACCACGCCUUGAGUUUGUCUCAAAUUUGUUGAAAUCUUAGCUUAGAGGUUUGCUGAGAAAUUUCAUGUCAUUUGUUGUGGCAUUUUAAUUUGAUAAACCUUGUGCCUAAAUCUGAUAAAUUCCAUGUCGUGCCAUUUGGAAAAUAUAUGGUGAACAACUUUAUAUUUAUAUUCGUUCAUUUCUUUCUACAAUGCUCUCACAAAGUCACAGCUAGAUUUGAUUUGUGCUUCUCUUGAGAAAUCAUUGCAAAUUAUUCUUGUCAGAGAUAUCGUAUGGUAAAACUUUCUGGGAUGCUUCAACUGAUACCAUAUAACCAAAACAAGUGAAACACCAUUGAUGUAUUAAGAAAGUAGCUUUCAUAUUUGUGACUUGGCCGAACCCUUUAGGAUUGUCUGCAAGUUAAUUUUUAUAUAUUUCUUGUGUAUUGCAGAAAUUUUCACUAAGAUUUUUUCAUCAAACAAAUGAGAUGAUUGAUGUCUAUAAUACCUCCUCUUUACCUUUGGUUUCUUAAAAGAUGAUAUUCCGACUGAAUUUAUAGUCAUUUCAGUUGUCUGUCUCCUCACAAGGGCUGCUAUUUUUUUGUGGAUAAUGCAAUUGAAUCUGGAAUGUAACUUCUGCUCUGUGAUGUAUUUCCUUGGAGAUAGUCCUGUUUCUCCCUUCUUGAAAGUGUCGGUGGAUGAAAGCAUGCAUGACAAAAGUACUCGUGGAAAAACUGUUGUAUCUUUUGAGAAAAUUUCAUGCAUCCAUGUUUUCUUAAAAUAGUUCGAUCUUUGAAUGUAUUGCUGCAGCGUAUUUUUUCAUUUCCCAUUUAUGUACAAUGGGAAUCUGUCCUUGGUUCCAGUUUUACUUUUUUAGUGAUUUAAAAUAUUUGAUUUGGCCAUUAAUAUACACUUUUUCAUGCCAAGUUGACCUAUUCUGAUGCGCUAUUUCUUAGAAAAAAACACUACUAAUCGCAUGACCUAUUCUGAUGUACUAUUUCUUAGAAAGAAACACUUCAUUAGAA